UCGGUUUCAAAAUGGGUUACAAGGGAUAAUGUCAGGUGUAAGGUAGGCUGAACAAAGAAAAAAAUUGGUUUAAAGUGUGGCGUUGGGAUGGAUAAAUAAUGGUAGGAAGGGAUACUUGAUGAUCGGAGUAAUAAGAGAUGAAAAUAAAACUCGCAAGACUUUUCACUUCUUUUUUUUCUUUUUUUGUACUCUUUUUUUUUUGCUCACUUCUUUUUUUCUUUUCUUUUUUUUGAAUUUUUUUUUGAAUUUUGAUUUUUUUUGUGAUACUCCAAUACAAUAGUAAGGUAAAUACAAGGAAGGAAAAAAAUUAAAUUACAACUCGAAAUUUUUUUUUGAUUUUUUUUCACGUUCCGAACCUACUUGCGGCCUUGUUACGAACGUCGGUGCUCCUUGUU
Molecule: long non-coding RNA, 395 nt
Filed under: Gossypium raimondii (Peruvian cotton)
Lineage: Eukaryota; Viridiplantae; Streptophyta; Magnoliopsida; Malvales; Malvaceae
Description: long non-coding RNA (GRAI_LNC002189)
Source: RNAcentral